AAGUCGUAACAAGGUUUCCGUAGGUGAACCUGCGGAAGGAUCAUUACAAAUCCAAUGAAUUUACCCGUUGCAAUGUUUGGAGGAGUGAGUGAGUUUAACCACUAACGAACUCUUUCAUGAAUAUUAUGACGCUUGUUGUUCAGUUGUAUUAAAAUUUAAUAUCAAUCACAACUUAUAACAAUGGAUCUCUAGGCUCUU
Molecule: unclassified non-coding RNA, 198 nt
Filed under: fungal sp.
Lineage: Eukaryota; Fungi
Description: partial internal transcribed spacer region
Rfam family: Eukaryotic small subunit ribosomal RNA (bases 1-46)
Source: RNAcentral